AAAAUAUACUAUUCAUUGCUGCUUCUAAGUCCAUUUGGAAUCACCAGCUUUGGGAACAUCAGGUUUCCACCAUCACAGUGCAUCUGUCUCUCCGUUUGCUUCGGUGACAAUGACUGCAGCUAUCUGUGUGGUACAUGCACAGGAUCAGAAGUGUCAUCUGGUUCUUCUUCAACAAGCGACUCAUCAGCACAUUUUUCUAAUUGUCUUUGUGCAUCAGCAGUUAUGAAGGAAGAUACGAGCAGAUACAAGUCACAGCUGGAAAACGAGGGGAAUGAUUUACACAUGAAUUUAUUUACACUCUCCAUGCGUGGAACCACGGCCUGCUCUGAAGCCUGGGGGACUUCUGUGGUUGGGCAAUGGAGCUCUCCAGUGGAAGAAGGCUCAGAGAAGAUAGGUGAGGAUGAUGUGCUCAUGAAGCUCAUAAAUACAUGUAGGAAGUAACCACAGCUGUUACAAAGGAAGCUGAACUUAUCUCAACAUGAGGGGAACCGGAGGGUGGCCUUUGUUUUAGAUAAAUAGCUCUAUCAGUUGAGUGGGUCAACUAGUUAUGUAAAUGUCUUCCCUAAAACAAUCAAUAGGGAGUGUUAUCUUCCUGAGCCAGCCACAUCAGCAUGGGGGAAGUGCAUCUGUGGCUCAGCCCAACAUAGAGUCUAAAAAUUAAGCAACCAAAUGAACCAUGAAGAGAUCGGUGGGCUUGAGCUGGGUUCAACCACUCAUGGAAAUCACCUUUGUAUCACAAUCCAGCUGCACCUUGCAAUUGUUGUAUUGUGUGCACUGUGAUUUCAGUAUAUUGCUGUGUCACUCGGGUACAUCAAACUCUCAGGCAAUGUCAAAUACUCCAAAAUAAGUAAAUUUGAUAUUAAAUAUUAAACCCUUCUCAUCUGGACUAUCCAAAAGAAGUUAGAGAGAGGGUAUAAGGCUCUGAUAACCUCAUGCCUUGCCCUCACCAGUAGACAGCUUUAGGAAUCGACUUCCUAAGCCCUUUGGAGCACAUUUCUCCUGCCAAUAAAGUUGGUUUCCUGUUCCCUGUGGAGGUUAUC
RNAcentral lists this long non-coding RNA (1040 nucleotides) under Anser brachyrhynchus (Pink-footed goose). RNAcentral describes it as "lncRNA (ENSABRG00000001739.1)". The record is from RNAcentral. Lineage: Eukaryota; Metazoa; Chordata; Aves; Anseriformes; Anatidae.